UACAGAGGGUGCAAGCGUUUGUUCGGAAUUAUUGGGCGUAAAGGGCGCGUAGGCGGUGCGGUAAGUCUGCGGUGAAAUCUCCCCGGCUCAACUGGGAGCUGCCGUGGAAACUGCCGUGCUUGAGUGUGGGAGAGGUGAGUGGAAUUCCCGGUGUAGCGGUGAAAUGCGUAGAUAUGUGGAGGAAUACCGGUGGCGAAGGCGGCCUCCUGGCUUAAUACUGACGCUGAGGUGCGAAAGCGUGGGGAGCAAACAGG
This 254-nucleotide ribosomal RNA is filed under the name uncultured bacterium. Its description in RNAcentral is "partial 16S ribosomal RNA". It matches the Rfam family "Bacterial small subunit ribosomal RNA", at positions 524 to 776 of the family's 1533-position model. The record is from RNAcentral.